This 305-nucleotide unclassified non-coding RNA is filed under the name uncultured Chalastospora. Its description in RNAcentral is "sequence contains ITS1". The stretch from base 1 to 105 matches the Rfam family "5.8S ribosomal RNA", at positions 50 to 154 of the family's 154-position model. Lineage: Eukaryota; Fungi; Ascomycota; Dothideomycetes; Pleosporales. The record is from RNAcentral.
GAAAUGCGAUACGUAGUGUGAAUUGCAGAAUUCAGUGAAUCAUCGAAUCUUUGAACGCACAUUGCGCCCUUUGGUAUUCCAAAGGGCAUGCCUGUUCGAGCGUCAUUUGUACCCUCAAGCUUUGCUUGGUGUUGGGCGUCUUGUCUCCAGUUCGCUGGAGACUCGCCUUAAAGUCAUUGGCAGCCGGCCUACUGGUUUCGGAGCGCAGCACAAGUCGCGCUCUCUUCCAUGAAUGUCAGCAUCCAUCAAGACUAUUUUCACUCUUGACCUCGGAUCAGGUAGGGAUACCCGCAUCGAUGAAGAAC